AAUUGUAGAGUUGAAAGGGACCACAAGGGACAUCUAGUCCAACCCCCUGCAAUCUUCUGCCCAAUGUGACGCUCAAACCUACGACCCGGAGAUUAAGAGUCUCAUGCUCUACCAACUGUGCUACCUCUUUGCUGGGUUGUGGGUUUGAGUCCCAUGUUGGAUUCCUACAUUGCAGGGGGUUGGACUAGAUGACCCUUGUGGUCCCUUCCAACUCUACAAUU
Non-coding RNA from Podarcis lilfordi (Lilford's wall lizard), 221 nucleotides. The record is from the annotation of a GenBank genome assembly. NCBI's taxonomy places the organism in Eukaryota, Metazoa, Chordata, Lepidosauria, Squamata, Lacertidae.